GGCGCACGGGUGAGUAACGCGUGGGAACCUACCCAGCGGUACGGAAUAACCACGGGAAACUGUGGCUAAUACCGUAUACGUCCUUCGGGAGAAAGAUUUAUCGCCGUUGGAGGGGCCCGCGUCGGAUUAGGUAGUUGGUGGGGUAAAGGCCCACCAAGCCGACGAUCCGUAGCUGGUCUGAGAGGAUGAUCAGCCACACUGGGACUGAGACACGGCCCAGACUCCUACGGGAGGCAGCAGUGGGGAAUAUUGGACAAUGGGCGAAAGCCUGAUCCAGCAAUGCCGCGUGAGUGAAGAAGGCCUUAGGGUUGUAAAGCUCUUUCACCGGGGAAGAUAAUGACGGUACCCGGAGAAGAAGCCCCGGCUAACUCCGUGCCAGCAGCCGCGGUAAUACGGAGGGGGCUAGCGUUGUUCGGAAUUACUGGGCGUAAAGCGCGCGUAGGCGGCCUGUCAAGUUGGGCGUGAAAGCCCGGGGCUCAACCCCGGAAUUGCGUUCAAAACUGGCAAGCUAGAGACCGAGAGAGGUGAGUGGAAUUCCCAGUGUAGAGGUGAAAUUCGUAGAUAUUGGGAAGAACACCAGUGGCGAAGGCGGCUCACUGGCUCGGUA
RNAcentral lists this ribosomal RNA (607 nucleotides) under uncultured bacterium. RNAcentral describes it as "bacterial SSU rRNA". It matches the Rfam family "Bacterial small subunit ribosomal RNA", at positions 97 to 739 of the family's 1533-position model. The record is from RNAcentral.